Molecule: ribosomal RNA, 499 nt
Filed under: uncultured Lachnospiraceae bacterium
Lineage: Bacteria; Bacillati; Bacillota; Clostridia; Lachnospirales; Lachnospiraceae
Description: bacterial SSU rRNA
Rfam family: Bacterial small subunit ribosomal RNA
Source: RNAcentral
AGAGUUUGAUCCUGGCUCAGGAUGAACGCUGGCGGCGUGCUUAACACAUGCAAGUCGAGCGGAGGUUUAAAGCGGAAGUUUUCGGAUGGAAGCAAUAAACCUUAGCGGCGGACGGGUGAGUAACGCGUGGGUAACCUGCCUCAUACAGGGGGAUAACAGUUAGAAAUGACUGCUAAAACCGCAUAAGCGCACAUUGUCGAGUGACAGAGUGUGAAAAACUCCGGUGGUAUGAGAUGGACCCGCGUCUGAUUAGCUAGUUGGUGAGGUAACGGCCCACCAAGGCGACGAUCAGUAGCCGGCCUGAGAGGGCGACCGGCCACAUUGGGACUGAGACACGGCCCAAACUCCUACGGGAGGCAGCAGUGGGGAAUAUUGCACAAUGGGGGAAACCCUGAUGCAGCGACGCCGCGUGAGUGAAGAAGUAUUUCGGUAUGUAAAGCUCUAUCAGCAGGGAAGAAGAAAGACGGUACCUGGCUAAGAAGCCCCGGCUAACUACGUG